This is a non-coding RNA of Paragonimus skrjabini miyazakii, 78 nucleotides long. NCBI's taxonomy places the organism in Eukaryota, Metazoa, Platyhelminthes, Trematoda, Plagiorchiida, Troglotrematidae. The record is from the annotation of a GenBank genome assembly.
AGCUUCGUACCUCAGCUGGUACAGCGCUCGACACGUUUGGGUAUGUUUCUAUCGCUGGUUCGAAUCCAGCCGAAGCUC